RNAcentral lists this ribosomal RNA (433 nucleotides) under uncultured bacterium. Its description in RNAcentral is "partial 16S ribosomal RNA". It matches the Rfam family "Bacterial small subunit ribosomal RNA", at positions 29 to 507 of the family's 1533-position model. The record is from RNAcentral.
AACGAACGCUGGCGGCAGGCCUAACACAUGCAAGUCGAGCGAGAUCUUCGGGUCUAGCGGCGGACGGGUGAGUAACGCGUGGGAAUAUGCCUCUUGGUACGGAAUAGCCUCGGGAAACUGGGAGUAAUACCGUAUGUGCCCUUUGGGGGAAAGAUUUAUCGCCAAGAGAUUAGCCCGCGUUGGAUUAGGUAGUUGGUGGGGUAAUGGCCUACCAAGCCGACGAUCCAUAGCUGGUUUGAGAGGAUGAUCAGCCACACUGGGACUGAGACACGGCCCAGACUACGACGGGAGGAAGCAGUGGGGAAUCAGAGACAAGGGGGGCAACACUGAACUAGCCAUGCCGGGGGAGUGAUGAAGGCCUUAGGGUUGUAAAGCUCUUUCAGCUGGGAAGAUAAUGACGGUACCAGCAGAAGAAGCCCCGGCUAACUCCGUG